UGGGGAAUUUUGGACAAUGGGCGAAAGCCUGAUCCAGCAAUGCCGCGUGUGUGAAGAAGGCCUUCGGGUUGUAAAGCACUUUUGUCCGGAAAGAAAUCCUCUGGGUUAAUACCUCGGGGGGAUGACGGUACCGGAAGAAUAAGCACCGGCUAACUACGUGCCAGCAGCCGCGGUAAUACGUAGGGUGCAAGCGUUAAUCGGAAUUACUGGGCGUAAAGCGUGCGCAGGCGGUUUUGUAAGACGGAUGUGAAAUCCCCGGGCUUAACCUGGGAACUGCAUUCGUGACUGCAAGGCUAGAGUAUGGCAGAGGGGGGUAGAAUUCCACGUGUAGCAGUGAAAUGCGUAGAGAUGUGGAGGAAUACCGAUGGCGAAGGCAGCCCCCUGGGCCAAUACUGACGCUCAUGCACGAAAGCGUGGGGAGCAAACAGGAUUAGAUACCCUGGUAGUCCACGCCCUAAACGAUGUCGACUAGUUGUUGGGGAUUCAUUUCCUUAGUAACGUAGCUAACGCGUGAAGUUGACCGCCUGGGGAGUACGGUCGCAAGAUUAAAACUCAAAUGAAUUGACGGGGUCAUAGCUGUUUCCU
This 585-nucleotide ribosomal RNA is filed under the name uncultured bacterium. Its description in RNAcentral is "partial 16S ribosomal RNA". It matches the Rfam family "Bacterial small subunit ribosomal RNA", at positions 355 to 1375 of the family's 1533-position model. The record is from RNAcentral.